AUGUUACAUGAAUUUUAUGUGAUCUCAAAAUACCAAUCAAAUUGAAAGAGAUGUUUCAGAGGACCACAUUUCAGCCAACUAUUAUGCAUUGGUGAUGGAAAGUGUUGGGCAGUGAAGAAACAUGAUUACAAGAACCAACCCUUCCAUGGAAUGUUCAAGUGGCAGCCAAAUUGAUUCCCUCACCUUGUAAUACAGCUUUUGAAACACACAAUCCCAUGGUAUCAAACCAUCAUAUUUCGCCAUAAUGUAGCUACCACAUUCAGUAAAAAGUGAUUUAUUAUAGUGGAGUGGUCUUAAUUUACAAAUUAAAGAAGAGAGACAAUACUAAGAAAUAUAGUGAAAAGUUUAGGAAUGAAAUUUACCCAUGUAUUUGAUAGUUUCCGCCCACAAAAUGGAGUUACCAAUAUCUUGGCUCAUAGUUACCCAAUUUGCUCAUCCCCCCCAGCACCGUGAUCUGGGAGAUGUGCGUCCCAAAACG
RNAcentral lists this unclassified non-coding RNA (478 nucleotides) under Hevea brasiliensis (rubber tree). Lineage: Eukaryota; Viridiplantae; Streptophyta; Magnoliopsida; Malpighiales; Euphorbiaceae. The record is from RNAcentral.